RNAcentral lists this ribosomal RNA (479 nucleotides) under uncultured bacterium. RNAcentral describes it as "bacterial SSU rRNA". It matches the Rfam family "Bacterial small subunit ribosomal RNA", at positions 32 to 507 of the family's 1533-position model. The record is from RNAcentral.
AACGCUGCGGCAUGCCUUACACAUGCAAGUCGAACGGCAGGCACGGGAGCAAUCCUGGUGGCGAGUGGCGAACGGGUGAGUAAUAUAUCGGAACGUGCCCAGUCGUGGGGGGAUAACGUAGCGAAAGCUACGCUAAUACCGCAUACGAUCUAUGGAUGAAAGCGGGGGAUCGCAAGACCUCGCGCGAUUGGAGCGGCCGAUAUCAGAUUAGGUAGUUGGUGAGGUAAAGGCUCACCAAGCCGACGAUCUGUAGCUGGUCUGAGAGGACGACCAGCCACACUGGGACUGAGACACGGCCCAGACUCCUACGGGAGGCAGCAGUGGGGAAUUUGGACAAUGGGCGCAAGCCUGAUCCAGCAAUGCCGCGUGCAGGAUGAAGGCCUUCGGGUUGUAAACUGCUUUGUACGGAACGAAACGGUGAGCUCUAAUACAGUUUGCUAAUGACGGUACCGUAAGAAUAAGCACCGGCUAACUACGUG